UUUUUAAAUGCCAAGAAAUGAGUCGAAUAGAAGAGGUCGUCUGCAUCUCCACUUGACGUGCGAUCUUCUUUGCUGCUGUCCACUUGUCGGGGUUCGUUAAUGUCACGAAUUGCGGGACUUACCGUUUCAUGCCGUUGUUUUCAUUUCUGGGAUCUGCCAAGGAUCGGCUUUCAAGUGAGACCCAGUGGCUUACGUUAUCUAGACUGAAUAGUCUACCUGCGUACAGACGUCUAGUUAUUGCCCAACUCUCCACUGCUUGCGAGUUUUGACGCUGGACUCAACACUUUGAAUCGCUCCAUUUAAAGACGAUAAAAUCUAAACUGUGUGGUGAAUCUACUUUAACUGCUGAUGAAUCCAGUAAAUGAAAAGAGGUGAUGGUGACUGAACGCUGAGCUUAUAAAAAUCCGCAUCGGCUGUGUGUGCCUCUUGUCCGUUCCAUUUAACAUUAGCUCUCGCGAAUUUAAACGGCCAAUGUUUUUCCUUUAAAUUGAAUACGAUCUGAAUUCGAACCGAAAUUUCAGUGCCCUUGUGGCAUUCCUGUAAAUCUACGUCAGUGUAUUCGGUGCCAACUCUUGUAACCGAUUUUCUUCUUUCUAGCUGCGAAAGGUUAUGAUGUCCUUUAGGUGACUGCUGCAACAAUUACUGGAUUCCAAAUGGCACUACAAGACGACAAGGAUUAUUGAAACAAGAUGUCUUUGGUCAACAUAUUGCAACUGAGGUUGUAUCCCGUCAGAUAGAAGCCCACUUGACCAAUGAUAGUCCUUAAAAGCAUCUAGUAUUAGAUUUCCAUGGUUGAACAGGGAACGGUCUAAAGUCAGUUCUAUCACCACUUCAUAUCCACAGUGCACUAUCCU
Molecule: long non-coding RNA, 854 nt
Organism: Daphnia carinata
Lineage: Eukaryota; Metazoa; Arthropoda; Branchiopoda; Diplostraca; Daphniidae
Exons: 4
Source: RefSeq, a predicted model, not a curated record